GCGUGCAGGCGGUUUGGUAAGUUGGGUGUGAAAGCUCCAGGCUCAACCUGGAGAGGUCGCUCAAUACUGCCAGACUUGAGGACGGUAGAGGGAGGUGGAAUUCCGGGUGUAGUGGUGAAAUGCGUAGAUAUCCGGAGGAACACCAGUGGCGAAAGCGGCCUCCUGGCCCGUUCCUGACGCUCAGACGCGAAAGCUAGGGUAGCGAACG
This 208-nucleotide ribosomal RNA is filed under the name uncultured bacterium. RNAcentral's name for it is "partial 16S ribosomal RNA". It matches the Rfam family "Bacterial small subunit ribosomal RNA", at positions 567 to 774 of the family's 1533-position model. The record is from RNAcentral.